Molecule: ribosomal RNA, 259 nt
Filed under: uncultured bacterium
Lineage: Bacteria
Description: partial 16S ribosomal RNA
Rfam family: Bacterial small subunit ribosomal RNA
Source: RNAcentral
UACGUAGGGAGCAAGCGUUGUUCGGAUUUACUGGGCGUAAAGGGCGCGUAGGCGGCAUAUUAAGUCAUCUGUGAAAUCUCCGAGCUUAACUCGGAACUGUCAGCUGAUACUGAUGUGCUAGAGUGCGGAAGGGGCAAUCGGAAUUCUUGGUGUAGCGGUGAAAUGCGUAGAUAUCAAGAGGAACACCUGAGGUGAAGACGGGUUGCUGGGCCGACACUGACGCUGAGUGCGCGAAAGCCAGGGGAGCAAACGGGAUUAG